GUGAAAUUCCGUCGGAAUCUGGGAGGACCAUCUCCUAAGGCUAAAUACUCUCUAGUGACCGAUAGUGAACCAGUACCGUGAGGGAAAGGUGAAAAGCACCCCGGAAGGGGAGUGAAAUAGAACCUGAAACCGUGUGCUUACAAGUAGUCAGAGCCCGUUAAUGGGUGAUGGCGUGCCUUUUGUAGAAUGAACCGGCGAGUUACGAUUUGAUGCAAGGUUAAGCAGUAAAUGUGGAGCCGUAGCGAAAGCGAGUCUGAAUAGGGCGUUUAGUAUUUGGUCGUAGACCCGAAACCAGGUGAUCUACCCUUGGUCAGGUUGAAGUUCAGGUAACACUGAAUGGAGGACCGAACCGACUUACGUUGAAAAGUGAGCGGAUGAACUGAGGGUAGCGGAGAAAUUCCAAUCGAACCUGGAGAUAGCUGGUUCUCUCCGAAAUAGCUUUAGGGCUAGCCUCAAGUGAUGAUUAUUGGAGGU
RNAcentral lists this ribosomal RNA (474 nucleotides) under Staphylococcus aureus. RNAcentral's name for it is "partial 23S ribosomal RNA". It matches the Rfam family "Bacterial large subunit ribosomal RNA", at positions 426 to 903 of the family's 2925-position model. The record is from RNAcentral. Lineage: Bacteria; Bacillati; Bacillota; Bacilli; Caryophanales; Staphylococcaceae.